GCACCGGUAGCUCAGCUGGAUAGAGCAACUGGCUACGAACCAGUAGGUCGGGGGUUCGACUCCCUCCCGGUGCACCA
RNAcentral lists this transfer RNA (77 nucleotides) under Alcanivorax borkumensis. RNAcentral's name for it is "tRNA-Arg". It matches the Rfam family "tRNA". From Rfam's summary of the family: Transfer RNA (tRNA) molecules are approximately 80 nucleotides in length. The record is from RNAcentral. RNAcentral also lists the same sequence under 8 other names. Lineage: Bacteria; Pseudomonadati; Pseudomonadota; Gammaproteobacteria; Oceanospirillales; Alcanivoracaceae.